UAAAAGCAGCUUUCCAUUCUUGGGACUCUUAAUUUAUCUACACAAAGUUAAAUAAACCCACAAGCUGUUCAUUGCAUUUGAAAAGCACCUCUUUAAAUGUCAUGUAAUUGUUUUGAUGAGAAAUAGUUGGGACCUGCUGAUUCCCUUUUCUUUUCAGUGUUUGUGUUCAAAUGAUGUCUGAUGUAUGUGAAUAUAACAAAUGUCUUACUCUUCUGUAUGUCUUAUUCCUGACAGACUUUCAAAGAUGACACACUGCUUUGUAAGCAUAACAAUAAGUUAAUCCUGUGUUCUCUUCUUCAGUCUCUCACGAACUGAAGAUCCUCCGGCUGUGUGUGAGAUUUCUCCAUUAGUAUCUUACUUUGGAGAGGGUCUGGAGGCGUGCAUGAAGAACAAAGACUUCUGUUCUCCCUUUAUACUCGAUGAAAGCAAAGCAGAAAUGCUAGGAAAUUCUUGAAAAGGAGGGAGGACUUCUCCUCAAAUCAGAUACGUGUCUGUCAGAGCCAUUGAAAGAAAUGACACUGCUAAAAUGUCAGUUAUGAAGUGUAUUAUGUAUUAUGAAAAAUCGCUUUACAGUAUCAGAUAGUUGGCAAAUCCUUGAAGCAGUUGUGUUUGUACAGAUGUGCAUAUGUACCAGUUCUGUUUGGUAACUUUGAAGGGUAUGCCUUUUACUUUGGUCUAUCUUGUAGACUGAUGUGAAUGAAGAUUAAUACCUUCCAGGUACCAAAUGGAUUUUAUAUUUCUUAUUUGUUAUGCAUACAGAUAUGUAACAGUAAAUCAGAAAUUAAUCAGCUUUGCAUUCAAGAAGGUUAAAUCUCUGCAGUGACUUACUAUGUAUCUUAUUUAUAUCUUUGUUCCAUUUUUUUGUUGUUAUUGUUUCUGUUUUUUUUUUGUUUGUUUGUUUGUUUUUCCUGUGUGCACAGCUGAAGAAGAAUCAGUAUGAUGCCCCACCCUGAAAAGUAUGGAAUGACUUUGUGUACUAGGUCCUCUGUCUCUAAUCUUGUGCUGGUUAGUAGACCAAGUUCAGCACAUCCUCUAACUGGGUUAUGCAGAAGAGUCUCUGUAGGUAGGGAUCCUUUUAUGUGUAAGUUUUGCUUGAGAUUUGGCCUCAGAAGCAGAACAGGCUAUUUUGCAUAUGUAGGCUCAGUGGUGAUAUUCCAAGAAAACAUAACUAAAUAUGCAGCUCAGGCUGCAUACUCUUUACAGCUGUAGUGAACAGUUCUUGUUAUUAUUAUUUUUGAGGGGUUGGAGGUGGGGCAAAAAAAAGGCUGAGAACUGUUUUCAUAAUAACCUUCUACUCUUUCUGUUUUAUGGCAAACAUUUAUUUUGCUUUCCUUUUUUUUUUUUUUUUUUUGUUUGUUUAAUGUAUAUCCUAUCCCUCAAAGGGCAACUCUUUUAAAGUGGCUGAAAGUAAUAGGAGGAACAUGCUGUGAUGGUAGAAAAUAGAAUUUGAUGUGUAAUCAAAAGCAGAAAAUUACCUUUCUUUUAAAAUGUAUUACUAACUAUAAUGUGAAGAUAAUUGUCAGCUAAUUAAGGACAGUAAUUGUCAGAACACAUGUAGCACAUGAACUCAGCCUUGGCUGAGGGCUUCCACGGUGACCAUGAUACAAAGCUCCUGUUUAGCUCCAGCAGACCUGUGCCAUGUGGGCAGCUGCCCAGAACAGAACCUUCACUGAACACACCACAUUUCACAUUUCACAAAGAUUCUUUGUGUGCUCUGCUGAGUGGAACUGGGUGGAGGAGCAUGCUAUGCUUUUCACCCAAAUCGGGUAUAAGGAAGGUGAUGAGGAAGGUAAAACAUUUCAGAUGAGGCAUCAUCUGAAAUACCAGGUCUCAGUAUCUGUUUCUACUAAGGAAUUGCUGAUGCUGAUAUUAAGCAUUAAUCUUUUACAUAAGUGAUUUUCUGAAAUUCCUCAUAUGAAGCUGUAUUCAGAAUGUUGGAGAAGUAUUAAAACAGCUUUGAGAGUAAUUACAAUUUAUAAGUAGAUUCAUGUGUUCCAAAGGAACCAUUUAAAUGUCAAUGGCAAAAUUUAAAGAUAUAAAGUGUAUCUAGAUAUGCAUAAGUAAUUAGCCUUUUGCACAUGCAAACCAGCUAAUUACAGUUCUGAUUACCUCAUUUUGCAUGUGCAACCAGUAACCAAUUUUUAGUAUAAGUUAAGCAUUUGUCUUUGAUGCUCAAUUUUGUAAUUUUUUUGCACAAUUUUGUAUGGGUCAUUUUAAUUCCUGUCGAUCAAUUUUUACAUCUGAGAAGUAAUGGCAUAGUAUCCUUGUAAGUAUUGCUUGUCAAUUCAGGCACAGGUUGCUUUAAGUUGCACUGUGCUAUAAAGAAAGGAUAUAUAUAUAUUUCAUUUAUAAACUGCUUUCUCUUUUGAAACUCAAGUAUAGCCCAUUUUCUAUGUGCUUAAAUCAUAUGAACACUGAACUGCUGACAUGAUUUUUAGAGAUUGUUUUCAAGGUGAAACUGAAUUAGUAUGAUGAACACCUUUUUUUUUUUCCCUAUGGCUCUUCAUGUUUUAAACUGGAACAUUAAAAGAUUCUUGAGGGAACUUUAAAAAAAAAUCUCACCUUCAUUGUGAAAUGAAAAAAAAUAAAAUCUGAAAUAGAGGGGGAUCCCGUAGUGUUCCAGAAACUUUGGGAGACCUAAGCUUUUUCAUAAUAAAUAUGAUACUGCGA
Oxyura jamaicensis (ruddy duck) is the source of this 2670-nucleotide long non-coding RNA. RefSeq lists it as uncharacterized. The transcript has 2 exons. The record is from RefSeq and is a predicted model, not a curated record. NCBI's taxonomy places the organism in Eukaryota, Metazoa, Chordata, Aves, Anseriformes, Anatidae.